UUCAUUGAGAAGGGUGAGGUGG
This 22-nucleotide unclassified non-coding RNA is filed under the name Mus musculus (house mouse). Its description in RNAcentral is "oocyte_clustered_small_RNA9565". The record is from RNAcentral. Lineage: Eukaryota; Metazoa; Chordata; Mammalia; Rodentia; Muridae.